Molecule: ribosomal RNA, 305 nt
Filed under: uncultured bacterium
Lineage: Bacteria
Description: bacterial SSU rRNA
Rfam family: Bacterial small subunit ribosomal RNA
Source: RNAcentral
ACCUACGGGGGGCAGCAGUAGGGAAUUUUCGUCAAUGGGCGCAAGCCUGAACGAGCAAUGCCGCGUGAACGAGGAAGGUCUUCGGAUCGUAAGGUUCUGUUGAAGGGGAAAAAGAGCGGAGAGAGGAAAUGGUCUCCGAUUGAUAUUACCCUUCGAGGAAGUCACGGCUAACUACGUGCCAGCAGCCGCGGUAAUACGUAGGUGGCGAGCGUUAUCCGGAAUGACUGGGCGUAAAGGGUGCGUAGGCGGCCUGCUAAGUCUGGAGUGAAAGGUACCGGCUCAACCGGUACAGGCUCUGGAAACUG